This is a long non-coding RNA of Chenopodium quinoa (quinoa), 515 nucleotides long. RefSeq lists it as uncharacterized. NCBI's taxonomy places the organism in Eukaryota, Viridiplantae, Streptophyta, Magnoliopsida, Caryophyllales, Amaranthaceae. The transcript is spliced from 3 exons. The record is from RefSeq and is a predicted model, not a curated record.
AGUUCAGCCAUUUUAAGCCAAAAGUCUCUUGCCCUUAAAGUUCCAUCCUUCUUUCUUCUCUCUUCCUCCCAUUUUCGUACUUCUUCAUCCCGUAUAUGUUCCAGGCCAUUUUUCAUCCACUUCUGUUCAUUUUUAGCGUUUUGAUAUUUGAGACAAAGUUGUUCUUCUUGAAAAAUCCUUGAGGUUAGGCUUAAGAAUCACCCAGUUUGGAGCUAUAUACUAUGAGAUAUGGCCUCUGCAAGAUCUGACUCCUCCCUUUCAACGUGGACCUUUCUACUUUAGAUUGUUUUGCGGGGGAAUUGCAAGUUCGAGAUUAAAAAAUUUGUGUUUGUUGCAAAAGAUCGAGAUAGGUGAUGGCGAUCAGAAGACGUGAAUUAAAUGCUGCAUUGGGGACAAUGGGCGGUGAUCACCUAGUUAAAUUUAGUAGACAUAGUAUCAGUGUUGUGUUACUUUAGAAAUUCUUGAACUAUUAUUAUUAUUAUUAUUAAAUGACAAGUAUUUUCUUCCGCUGCAAA